GUGAGGAAUAUUGCGCAAUGGAGGCAACUCUGACGCAGCCAUGCCGCGUGCAGGAAGAAGGCGCUACGCGUUGUAAACUGCUUUUAACCGGGAAGAAACCCCAGGACGUGUCCUGGGUUGACGGUACCGGAGGAAUAAGCACCGGCUAACUUCGUGCCAGCAGCCGCGGUAAUACGAAGGGUGCAAGCGUUAUCCGGAUUCAUUGGGUUUAAAGGGUGCGUAGGCGGAGCGUUAAGUCAGUGGUGAAAUCCUGCAGCUUAACUGUAGACUUGCCAUUGAUACUGGCGCUCUUGAGUGCGCUUGAAGUGGGCGGAAUGUGCCGUGUAGCGGUGAAAUGCUUAGAUAUGGCACAGAACACCAAUUGCGAAGGCAGCUCACUAAGGCAAUACUGACGCUGAGGCACGAAAGCGUGGGGAUCGAACAGGAUUAGAAACCCUGGUAGUCC
RNAcentral lists this ribosomal RNA (445 nucleotides) under uncultured bacterium. RNAcentral's name for it is "partial 16S ribosomal RNA". It matches the Rfam family "Bacterial small subunit ribosomal RNA", at positions 354 to 796 of the family's 1533-position model. The record is from RNAcentral.